GGGAUAUGGCAAUGAUUCCCAAGGAUCUCAUCUACCCACACCAUGGGAAGAGUAUGCAGUCCUGCAGUCUGGGAAAGUGAACUCAGAAAUAACUAGGGACAAGAUAUACAAAAGAGCCAUUGCACAGAGCUAAAGAAGCACAAAACUAAAACUGAAUUGUAUCAAAGAGCACACAGAUCAAAAAAGAAGAAACCAAUGCAGCUGGCUGCUUACAUUAUGAGGACACGGGCCUUCUGAUUAAGGUCGAUAAAUCCAGUGCUUUGAGGACAAAAGAAGCAGAACAUUCACUUUCAGUAAUGGAAGGCUUCAACCCCAUAUAGUGUUUGUUCCACCAAGCUACUCUGCUUUUUAUGGAGGAAGACCCUCUGGAUGUAUCUCAUAAAGUUCACACAGAUGUCAUAGAAUGAAAACUAUUACCAAAUAGUACCCUAGACUACCUAAUGCAGGCCCACAUUUCUUCUAUUUCUCUGACGCCAA
RNAcentral lists this long non-coding RNA (477 nucleotides) under Monodelphis domestica (gray short-tailed opossum). RNAcentral's name for it is "lncRNA (ENSMODG00000037393.1)". The record is from RNAcentral. Lineage: Eukaryota; Metazoa; Chordata; Mammalia; Didelphimorphia; Didelphidae.